GUGCUCAGUUCGGCAGCACGUAAACUAAAAUUGAAACAAUACAAAGAAGCAGCAGGGCCCCUGCACAAGGAUGAUACGCAAAUUUGUGAAUCAUUCCAUAUUUUU
Small nuclear RNA from Loxodonta africana (African savanna elephant), 105 nucleotides. NCBI's taxonomy places the organism in Eukaryota, Metazoa, Chordata, Mammalia, Proboscidea, Elephantidae. The record is from Ensembl.